AGCAUAUCAAUAAGCGGAGGAAAAGAAACCAACAGGGAUUGCCCCAGUAACGGCGAGUGAAGCGGCAACAGCUCAAAUUUGAAAUCUGGCCUCGGCCCGAGUUGUAAUUUGCAGAGGAAGCUUCUGGUGCGGCGCCGUCCGAGUCUCCUGGAACGGAGCGCCAUAGAGGGUGAGAGCCCCGUAUGGACGGAUGCCAAACCUGUGUGAAGCUCCUUCGACGAGUCGAGUAGUUUGGGAAUGCUGCUCUAAAUGGGAGGUAAAUUCCUUCUAAAGCUAAAUAUUGGCCAGAGACCGAUAGCGCACAAGUAGAGUGAUCGAAAGAUGAAAAGCACUUUGAAAAGAGGGUUAAACAGCACGUGAAAUUGUUGAAAGGGAAGCGCUUGUGACCAGACUUGAGCGCGGCGGAUCAUCCGGUGUUCUCACCGGUGCACUCCGCCGUGUCCAGGCCAGCAUCGGUUUCCGCGGGGGGACAAAGGUCCCGGGAACGUAGCUCCUCCGGGAGUGUUAUAGCCCGGGGCGCAAUGCCCCCGCGGGGACCGAGGACCGCGCAUCUGCAAGGAUGCUGGCGUAAUGGUCAUCAGCGACCCGUCU
Molecule: ribosomal RNA, 591 nt
Filed under: uncultured fungus
Lineage: Eukaryota; Fungi
Description: eukaryotic LSU rRNA
Rfam family: Eukaryotic large subunit ribosomal RNA
Source: RNAcentral